This 526-nucleotide ribosomal RNA is filed under the name uncultured Bacteroidota bacterium. RNAcentral describes it as "bacterial SSU rRNA". It matches the Rfam family "Bacterial small subunit ribosomal RNA", at positions 12 to 529 of the family's 1533-position model. Lineage: Bacteria; Pseudomonadati; Bacteroidota. The record is from RNAcentral.
UUUGAUCCUGGCUCAGGAUGAACGCUAGCGGCAGGCUUAACACAUGCAAGUCGAGGGGUAGCAGGGAUUAGUUUACUAAUUUGCUGACGACCGGCGCACGGGUGAGUAACGCGUAUACAAUUUACCUUUUACAGAGGAAUAGCCCAGAGAAAUUUGGAUUAAUGCCCUAUAGUAUUAUAGAAUCGCAUGGUUUUAUAAUUAAAGAUUUAUCGGUAGAAGAUGAGUAUGCGUCCUAUUAGCUAGAUGGUAAGGUAACGGCUUACCAUGGCGACGAUAGGUAGGGGUCCUGAGAGGGAGANCCCCCACACUGGUACUGAGACACGGACCAGACUCCUACGGGAGGCAGCAGUGAGGAAUAUUGGGCAAUGGAGGCAACNCUGACCCAGCCAUGCCGCGUGCAGGAAGACGGCCCUAUGGGUUGUAAACUGCUUUUAUAUAGGAAGAACUAGAUCUACGUGUAGAUUUUUGACGGUACUAUAUGAAUAAGCACCGGCUAACUCCGUGCCAGCAGCCGCGGUAAUAAGGG